RNAcentral lists this ribosomal RNA (369 nucleotides) under uncultured organism. Its description in RNAcentral is "bacterial SSU rRNA". It matches the Rfam family "Bacterial small subunit ribosomal RNA", at positions 526 to 896 of the family's 1533-position model. The record is from RNAcentral.
CGGAGGGUGCAAGCGUUAUCCGGAUUUACUGGGUUUAAAGGGUGUGUAGGCGGACUUUUAAGUCCGUGGUGAAAUCUCCGGGCUCAACCCGGAAACUGCCAUGGAUACUAUUGGUCUUGAAUGUUGUUGAGGUGGGCGGAACGGGUCAUGUAGCGGUGAAAUGCAUAGAUAUGACCCGGAACACCGAUUGCGAAGGCAGCCCACUAAGCAAUGAUUGACGCUGAGGCACGAAAGCGUGGGGAUCAAACAGGAUUAGAUACCCUGGUAGUCCACGCCCUAAACGAUGAUUACUCGACGUUGGCGAUACACUGAUCAGCGUCCAAGCGAAAGCAUUAAGUAAUCCACCUGGGAAGUACGUUCGCAAGAAUG